GGAACAUGAGUGUCAUGACAAACGGCUGUGGUUCUAGAGAGAAAGCAAGGUUGGCUCUCAAAAGAAUGAAUCAAGCCCGUAAACAGGAUAAGAGGUCUUUAUCUAUCUCCACUAAGGCUAAAAGUGAUGAGGAAAUGGCUGAAGCAAGGCUAGCUACUACUUCUAGUGAUUCUCCACAGAUUCGUGGGUCAAAAAGAUCUAUCAUAAGUUUUUUGUCUUACUUUUUUCUGGAAGGACGACUAUCUCUAAGUGUUGCUGCUUUACUACUAUUAUAGAUUGGAAAAUCUUAUAAUGGAGGCUAUAAGCAACUUGAAGGAGCCGGGUGGUUCCAACAAGACUACUAUAGCAACGUACAUAGAGGUACUCAUCUUCUUGUUGAGCUUAAUGUCCGAAAAGUAAGACAAUUUAGAGCAGUACUGCUUAGUUAAAUUGCACUAUAUUCUUUCAUAGGGCCUCUUAACACAUUUUGGAAUUUUGAAGUCUUGCUUGUCAUGCCAUCAAUAACAUUCUGAAUGGUGUUUGCUCUUGGUGCUUCUUGCUAAUUCAAGUAUGAGUUCUUC
This is an RNA transcript of Solanum verrucosum, 560 nucleotides long. It is a transcript of the gene named telomere repeat-binding factor 1-like, with no coding region annotated. NCBI's taxonomy places the organism in Eukaryota, Viridiplantae, Streptophyta, Magnoliopsida, Solanales, Solanaceae. The transcript is spliced from 2 exons. The record is from RefSeq and is a predicted model, not a curated record.